This 670-nucleotide ribosomal RNA is filed under the name uncultured Bacteroidota bacterium. RNAcentral describes it as "bacterial SSU rRNA". It matches the Rfam family "Bacterial small subunit ribosomal RNA", at positions 69 to 747 of the family's 1533-position model. Lineage: Bacteria; Pseudomonadati; Bacteroidota. The record is from RNAcentral.
GUUGUAGCAAUACAAUAGUGGCGCACGGGUGCGUAACACGUAUGCAACCUACCUUAUAGACGGGGAUAGCCUUUGGAAACGGAGAUUAAUACCCGAUAGCACUAUUGACUGGCAUCGGUUAAUAUUUAAAGAUUUAUCGCUAUAAGCUGGGCAUGCGUCCAAUUAGUUAGUUGGUUAGGUAAUGGCUGACCAAGACGAUGAUUGGUAGGGGAACUGAGAGGUUAAUCCCCCACACUGGCACUGAGAUACGGGCCAGACUCCUACGGGAGGCAGCAGUAGGGAAUAUUGGGCAAUGGAGGCAACUCUGACCCAGCCAUGCCGCGUGCAGGAUGAAGGCGUUAUGCGUUGUAAACUGCUUUUAUAUAGGAAGAAAUAGACCUUGCGAGGUAAGUUGACGGUACUAUAUGAAUAAGCACCGGCUAACUCCGUGCCAGCAGCCGCGGUAAUACGGAGGGUGCAAGCGUUGUCCGGAUUUAUUGGGUUUAAAGGGUGCGUAGGCGGUUUAUUAAGUCAGUGGUGAAAGACGGUCGCUCAACGAUUGCAGUGCCAUUGAUACUGGUAGACUUGAGUGAGAUUGAGGUAGCUGGAAUGGAUAGUGUAGCGGUGAAAUGCAUAGAUAUUAUCCAGAACACCAAUUGCGUAGGCAAGUUACUAAGUCUCAACUGACGCU